ACCUUCUCAUGAGCUCCUGUUAAUCUAAUCUGUGAUUACGCAUGGAUUCGCACGAGAAGCAGAGCCAGAGCUCAGUUAGAGUUGGCUUUGUCCUGUUUUCAAAUGGGCAUUGUCGACGUCUACUGUGCUACAAGU
Molecule: small nucleolar RNA, 135 nt
Filed under: Fundulus heteroclitus (mummichog)
Lineage: Eukaryota; Metazoa; Chordata; Actinopteri; Cyprinodontiformes; Fundulidae
Description: Small nucleolar RNA SNORA75 (ENSFHEG00000017914.1)
Source: RNAcentral